GACGAACGCUGGCGGCGUGCUUAACACAUGCAAGUCGAGCGGUAAGGCCCUUUCGGGGUACACGAGCGGCGAACGGGUGAGUAACACGUGGGUGACCUGCCCUCAGCUCUGGGAUAAGCCUGGGAAACCGGGUCUAAUACCGGAUAUGACUCCAUGACGCAUGUUGGUGGGGUGGAAAGCCUUGUGCGGCUGAGGAUGGGCCCGCGGCCUAUCAGC
This 216-nucleotide ribosomal RNA is filed under the name uncultured bacterium. Its description in RNAcentral is "partial 16S ribosomal RNA". It matches the Rfam family "Bacterial small subunit ribosomal RNA", at positions 28 to 245 of the family's 1533-position model. The record is from RNAcentral.